This 193-nucleotide unclassified non-coding RNA is filed under the name soil metagenome. Its description in RNAcentral is "partial contains small subunit ribosomal RNA, internal transcribed spacer 1, and 5.8S ribosomal RNA". The record is from RNAcentral.
UUUCCGUAGGUGAACCUGCGGAAGGAUCAUUAACGCUAAUCCAAAUACCUAAACCAAUCCUUAAGUUGCAGCAUUGGUGCAAGCUAGCGAAAGCAGGCAUGUCCAUUGCAGCAUCUAAUAAAACUAAACUAAAGGAGUUUAACUAAGCUCUUAACCAAAAACCAAAUUCUCAACGGUGGAUAUCUUGGUUUCC